ACUACGGUGCUGAAGCAACAAAUGCCCUGCUUCCAGGAAAAGCCUCUAAGCAUCAGGUAACACGAAAUCGUACCCCAAACCGACACAGGUGGUCAGGUAGAGAAUACCAAGGCGCUUGAGAGAACUCGGGUGAAGGAACUAGGCAAAAUGGUGCCGUAACUUCGGGAGAAGGCACGCUGACACGUAGGUGAAGUGAUUUACUCAUGGAGCUGAAGUCAGUCGAAGAUACCAGCUGGCUGCAACUGUUUAUUAAAAACACAGCACUGUGCAAACACGAAAGUGGACGUAUACGGUGUGACGCCUGCCCGGUGCCGGAAGGUUAAUUGAUGGGGUCAGCGCAAGCGAAGCUCCUGAUCGAAGCCCCGGUAAACGGCGGCCGUAACUAUAACGGUCCUAAGGUAGCGAAAUUCCUUGUCGGGUAAGUUCCGACCUGCACGAAUGGCGUAAUGAUGGCCAGGCUGUCUCCACCCGAGACUCAGUGAAAUUGAACUCGCUGUGAAGAUGCAGUGUACCCGCGGCAAGACGGAAAGACCCCGUGAACCUUUACUAUAGCUUGACACUGAACAUUGAGCCUUGAUGUGUAGGAUAGGUGGGAGGCUUUGAAGUGUGGACGCCAGUCUGCAUGGAGCCGACCUUGAAAUACCACCCUUUAAUGUUUGAUGUUCUAACGUGGACCCGUAAUCCGGGUUGCGGACAGUGUCUGGUGGGUAGUUUGACUGGGGCGGUCUCCUCCUAAAGAGUAACGGAGGAGCACGAAGGUUGGCUAAUCCUGGUCGGACAUCAGGAGGUUAGUGCAAUGGCAUAAGCCAGCUUGACUGCGAGCGUGACGGCGCGAGCAGGUGCGAAAGCAGGUCAUAGUGAUCCGGUGGUUCUGAAUGGAAGGGCCAUCGCUCAACGGAUAAAAGGUACUCCGGGGAUAACAGGCUGAUACCGCCCAAGAGUUCAUAUCGACGGCGGUGUUUGGCACCUCGAUGUCGGCUCAUCACAUCCUGGGGCUGAAGUAGGUCCCAAGGGUAUGGCUGUUCGCCAUUUAAAGUGGUACGCGAGCUGGGUUUAGAACGUCGUGAGACAGUUCGGUCCCUAUCUGCCGUGGGCGCUGGAGAACUGAGGGGGGCUGCUCCUAGUACGAGAGGACCGGAGUGGACGCAUCACUGGUGUUCGGGUUGUCAUGCCAAUGGCACUGCCCGGUAGCUAAAUGCGGAAGAGAUAAGUGCUGAAAGCAUCUAAGCACGAAACUUGCCCCGAGAUGAGUUCUCCCUGAGACUUAG
RNAcentral lists this ribosomal RNA (1268 nucleotides) under Salmonella enterica subsp. enterica serovar Typhimurium. RNAcentral describes it as "partial 23S ribosomal RNA". It matches the Rfam family "Bacterial large subunit ribosomal RNA", at positions 1576 to 2824 of the family's 2925-position model. Lineage: Bacteria; Pseudomonadati; Pseudomonadota; Gammaproteobacteria; Enterobacterales; Enterobacteriaceae. The record is from RNAcentral.